UACGGAGGGAGCUAGCGUUGUUCGGAAUUACUGGGCGUAAAGCGCGCGUAGGCGGUAUAUCAAGUCAGGGGUGAAAUCCCGGGGCUCAACCCCGGAACUGCCUUUGAUACUGGAAGUCUUGAGUUCGAGAGAGGUGAGUGGAAUUCCGAGUGUAGAGGUGAAAUUCGUAGAUAUUCGGAGGAACACCAGUGGCGAAGGCGGCUCACUGGCUCGAUACUGACGCUGAGGUGCGAAAGCGUGGGGAGCAAACAGG
This 253-nucleotide ribosomal RNA is filed under the name uncultured bacterium. Its description in RNAcentral is "partial 16S ribosomal RNA". It matches the Rfam family "Bacterial small subunit ribosomal RNA", at positions 524 to 776 of the family's 1533-position model. The record is from RNAcentral.